RNAcentral lists this ribosomal RNA (370 nucleotides) under uncultured Alphaproteobacteria bacterium. RNAcentral's name for it is "bacterial SSU rRNA". It matches the Rfam family "Bacterial small subunit ribosomal RNA", at positions 38 to 423 of the family's 1533-position model. The record is from RNAcentral. Lineage: Bacteria; Pseudomonadati; Pseudomonadota; Alphaproteobacteria.
GGCGGCAGGCCUAACACAUGCAAGUCGAGCGCACCCUUGAACUUCGGUUCUCUGGGCGAGCGGCGGACGGGUUAGUAACGCGUGGGAAUAUGCCCUUUUCUACGGAAUAGCCUCGGGAAACUGAGAUUAAUACCGUAUACGCCCUUUGGGGGAAAGAUUUAUCGGAGAAGGAUUAGCCCGCGUUAGAUUAGGUAGUUGGUGGGGUAAUGGCCUACCAAGCCUACGAUCUAUAGCUGGUUUGAGAGGAUGAUCAGCAACACUGGGACUGAGACACGGCCCAGACUCCUACGGGAGGCAGCAGUGGGGAAUCUUGGACAAUGGGCGCAAGCCUGAUCCAGCCAUGCCGCGUGAGUGAUGAAGGCCCUAGGGU